Molecule: long non-coding RNA, 3044 nt
Organism: Scylla paramamosain (green mud crab)
Lineage: Eukaryota; Metazoa; Arthropoda; Malacostraca; Decapoda; Portunidae
Exons: 5
Source: RefSeq, a predicted model, not a curated record
AGCAAAGUAACAAAGCAACAAAAAAUGGAACCACUGACGGUUAGCUGGCUGUCUGGUCACAUCACAAGAGGCUAGAAGACGGACUUUGCCAACCACCGACAAGAAUGAAGCUUUUCAGUCUUGUGAGGGAGAGACAUUAACACACGACUGCAGCGAGGAUGCACCUUGUGUCACUAGAGUUGAUACACCUCUCCCUACAGACACGGCAGCACAGCACAGGCCAGUACAGUACAGCACAGCACAGCACAGCACAGCACAGCACAGCAAUACAUCCUCGGCCACGCUCUUCUACGCCCUGACAGUCCAUUCCAGAGAGCCGUGCUAGUGUUGCCUUCCCCUAAGCAGCGUGUGUCAGUGAGGUGAUACACUCUCUGACUCCUCCAGCACCCGCGGCUCCUCCAGUCAGCCCGGCAUCCCCGGCACGCUUUGCUCCCUGCGCGAGUCAAAAGCGUCCCGCCCAGCUUUGUUUAGGCGCAUUCAUCCUGUUUUAUUUAACUACGAGUCAACAUUUCUCAACCCUUCAUUUUACUUUCUCAUUCCUCAGGACGCGUUUGUUUCUGAAAUGAAAAAGAAUCCUUCCUGCCGCCGCCCACGCCGCGUUCAGGCGUUUUGUUGACGUGCGAGGGUUUCUUUCUUCCUGAGAUGCAGCUCGUCUCAUUAGGGAGACGCUGUGCUGCGCUGUGCUGCACUGUGCUGUGAGGCGGGCGUUGUACUCGUAUAGUUACAGCCGCGCUUGAAUGGUGUCCGUAGCACGUAAAGGGAAUUACAAGCAGCGGAAAACAGGUCAUUCUUUGUAAGGCACACGACCUCACUGUCUCCUUGUGUGUCUGUCUGUCUGUAGGUGCGCACUCAGGCGUUGCAUAGUUACCUACAGUCGUACAUGAAUGAUGCGCGUGUCACGCAAACACAACCACAAAUAAUUCCAAAUAAGUCAUUCUAAACUACACUACUACUACAUGUCUCUGCAUCGGUUGAGAACCAAAACAAUCACACGUGACCCAGACAACACUGCAUCGAACCACCCAUCACCUGCUGUACUAACGAACACACCUGGGAGUGACUGAAGCUGUGAACACAUGCAUUGUUUUCACCACGACUGCACAGUUCUUCACAGAGUUCCAGUAUUUAUCGACGAGACAAGGGAGGUGCUGAACCCUUGACUGCUGAUGACGUCAGGACGUGAAUAACUGAAGCACUCCUUCAUCACUUGACGGAACAGAAAAACACCUACAGUCACUAAACGGUUUGAGUUACCACGUCACUUCUCCAGCUGUCACUGGCGUGUUUGGAAGUCACACCCUGAACUUGAGUCACAAGCUUUGCUUGAUGGAAGGUGAGCCGGAGCAGUCAGAGGGUGACUCACUGACUGCACGUACAAAUUUUCGCCAUUCAAAACACAGGAAAAGACGUAAAUGUGUAAGAUUACUCUUUAAACCAUGCAAGUAUGAUAUAAAACAGUCAGCGCCAAAUCCUCUUUAACGAGGCUUAUACUUGAACACUAAAAACAGGAGUAACAAGUUUUUUUCCUGCCGAGACUUGAGUGCCUCCGGCGAUACGUGCUGCAGAGAAGGUAAUAAAAAAGUAAAAUAACCUUCAGCGCACACAGACGCUAUUUAAAUAUGCCUUUGCUUUCAGGAUUACGCGGAUCGUACUCAAAGCAGAGCGAACCAUCGACACGAAACAGCGAGUCAGCAGCGACCUGUUCAGUGAAUCAGUGAAUCCGCGUCUCUCUCUCUCUAGGUGCCGAGGUGUUAAAUAAGUAAAUAAGUAAGUAAAUAAACAAAUAAAAGCAUAAGAAUAAAUGUCUCAGGAAAAUUGUCACAGAAAAUUUGGCACAAGAAAAAUGUUGCUUCAAAAUGUCACGUACUCGUACUUAUGAUCACGAAGAAAUUCCAUACUAAGUUAGGUUACGUUGUCAGGUUAGAUUAGUGUAACACCUGGUUGUCUGACUAAGCUAGCUCGCUCCUUGUACUGUGAUAUUAUUUGUUUGUCUGUUUUGGCAUACAGUGAAUUUGUAGUAGUCUGAUUUUAACGCAAUACUAUUUUUAACUAUUGUAUUGUAUUUAUUCCAUCAAUGUAUUAUUAGUAUGAUAACAUGUUUAAUGCAGUAUGCGUUGGUUGAAAAGGGGACUGUUAACUAGCUUGUUUAGAUGCGUCACGUACGUGCUGCACUCUGGCGGCGAACAGCAGAGAUAGUUCAGGGAGGAGUGAGGAACCGUCAGUCUGUCCGUGAUAUAGCACCAGUAUACUUGCACUCUUGUGUUACACCUAUGAACACUUUUGCCCCUUCGCGUUGACACCUUAGGGCGCCACAGACUGUUCUUCCUGCAGCUCCUGGCAGACAAAACCAGUAAUGGAGUAAAGCGGGGACUCGAGGCACGCCUGGAGGACAAGCAGAGGAGAGGAGAGAUGGAAGAAGGCACGCAAACACUCUCAGGUCGCAGGCGAGGAACACGUGAGGGUCUGAUUCCGUCCCCAGGCAGCAGCCGCCGCCACUCCCCUGCCAAGUGCAAGGGCGGACAUCACAAGUUUGGAGCGAUGAACUGAAAGAGACGCAGCCAACGAAGACAAAAGGCCGCGUGUGGGUGACUGAGGACACGAACCUACCACGAGAAACACAAAGGAAGAAGAUUAUCCUGAGGCUAUAAUUCAUAAUAUCCUGUCUAGUCGUUCCGCCACGUCCAGCGCACCCCGGCGGCAUAAAGAACACAAGUGGUCGUUCCUGUACCAGCACGACAAACACAUCAGCCAAACAUGUGAGUCCAGGAGGGGAACAACAAAACGUCAUCUUUCUUUAGUGUGUAUGUAGUUUGAAAGUUAUUAAUCUAUUGACGAUACGCGAAACUUUACGAGUAUUUUGCCGCAUGCUAUGACCACUAUGUGCAAAUGCGUUUGAUACAGAAAUAUUUAUCCGCAAUAAUAUUGGCAGAUAUUUUGCCAUGAAGUAUUAUGAAUCGCCGCUAACUAUUUCCGAUAACCGCUUACGAUGGAAAGGUUCAACGCUUCCGGCUCAACCUUUUGCUGGAAAAAAAAAAAAAAAGCGA